Molecule: long non-coding RNA, 420 nt
Organism: Octopus sinensis (East Asian common octopus)
Lineage: Eukaryota; Metazoa; Mollusca; Cephalopoda; Octopoda; Octopodidae
Exons: 3
Source: RefSeq, a predicted model, not a curated record
ACUUCUGUGAAGGAUGCCUUGACAACAUCACAGCCAGUUGAGAGUCCAGUUCUGAAGGAGAGGAUCUUCUGAGAGUGGCUAAGAGGUUAGGAAGUGAUUGGUGGCAAGUGGCUAUUUUUUAGGAGUUGAUACAACUGAACUGAAAAUUGAUGAUGAGUCUAUUGACACUGUAAAACAAGGCUACCUGAUGCUUCGCGAAUGGUUCAAAAAUUGCGACCCAGAAACACGGACACACGCAACAUUAAGUGCAGCUCUUGAAGAAGCUGAAUGUUUCACUGCGAUGGAAUGUCUGUCAUUAGACGCAAAGUGAAUUUCCAUGUAACUGUUGUUGUUUAGCUUCAGAUUAACCUUGACCAAACAGAGUCUUUUGAUCAAACGCAUUCCAGCCAGGACCAUCAUGCCUAUUUCCAAAGAGAACCC